RNAcentral lists this ribosomal RNA (252 nucleotides) under uncultured bacterium. RNAcentral's name for it is "partial 16S ribosomal RNA". It matches the Rfam family "Bacterial small subunit ribosomal RNA", at positions 524 to 776 of the family's 1533-position model. The record is from RNAcentral.
UACGUAGGUCCCGAGCGUUGUCCGGAUUUAUUGGGCGCAAAGCGAGCGCAGGUGGUUUAUUAAGUCUGGUGUAAAAGGCAGUGGCCCAACCAUUGUAUGCAUUGGAAACUGGUAGACUUGAGUGCAGGAGAGGAGAGUGGAAUUCCAUGUGUAGCGGUGAAAUGCGUAGAUAUAUGGAGGAACACCGGUGGCGAAAGCGGCUCUCUGGCCUGUAACUGACACUGAGGCUCGAAAGCGUGGGGAGCAAACAGG